GAGUUUGAUCCUGGCUCAGAACGAACGCUGGCGGCAUGCCUAACACAUGCAAGUCGAACGGGAUCCGGACUUCGGUUCGGUGAGAGUGGCGGACGGGUGAGUAACGCGUGGGAACCUGCCCAGUGGUGGGGGAUAACUGCGGGAAACUGCAGCUAAUACCGCAUGAGCCCGAGAGGGGAAAGAUUUAUCGCCAUUGGAGGGGCCCGCGUUCGAUUAGGUAGUUGGUGGGGUAAUGGCCUACCAAGCCGACGAUCGAUAGCUGGUCUGAGAGGAUGAUCAGCCACACUGGGACUGAGAUACGGCCCAGACUCCUACGGGAGGCAGCAGUGGGGAAUAUUGGACAAUGGGGGCAACCCUGAUCCAGCAAUGCCGCGUGAGUGA
Molecule: ribosomal RNA, 381 nt
Filed under: uncultured Alphaproteobacteria bacterium
Lineage: Bacteria; Pseudomonadati; Pseudomonadota; Alphaproteobacteria
Description: bacterial SSU rRNA
Rfam family: Bacterial small subunit ribosomal RNA
Source: RNAcentral